Molecule: long non-coding RNA, 645 nt
Filed under: Capra hircus (goat)
Lineage: Eukaryota; Metazoa; Chordata; Mammalia; Artiodactyla; Bovidae
Description: lncRNA (ENSCHIG00000007475.1)
Source: RNAcentral
GUGGGGCGGUACCUCAGGAUAAUGGCAGCAGAAGGCAAAGGGAGCAGACAGCUGGCAAGCUCUGUCCCAAUAUGCUUCCCUGAAAGAGGCGAGGAAAUUUCAGAAGAUGCAAUGCCUGAAUGGCUCACUUUGCAGAGAAAAAAAGAAGCAAGGCUGUAAAUUUCUUUAAAUGAUAGAUGUAAAGAUGGAAGACAGAUGGAUAGAGGAAAAGACAGAAUCAGAUACUGCAUGAAUUAGUACUGCAGCCCGUGCUCCAGCGCUGUCUUAUUACCAUCAGGCCAGCAAGCAUCAAAGUCCCCACAUCCCCCACUCCCUCCCCCUGAAAUGUACCGAUUUAUAUGAAAAUUAAGAUUACAAAUUAAAGCCUGGCUAUCCUGGAGUUUUCCAGUUCAUCAGCCAUCCAAUAAAAAUGAUGUCAAGCCUGUAUGCAUAAUUCCCAGAAGAUUACUUUGUCCUUACAGCUAAGCCCUGUCCCUGAUAUGAAAGAUCUCUAUCCACUUUUAUUGAAAUAAAGAACUAACAUCAUAAUCCCAAUAUUGAGGUAUAAUCUUCAUUAUCUCCUGACCCUCUUGAGGUUCCCCCAAUCUAUAUUACUUCAGAUUUGUUUAUUUAUAAUCCUUAUGUAUUUACCUUUAUUGAGAUAAG